GAUGAACGCUGGCGGCGUGCCUAAUACAUGCAAGUCGAGCGAACGGACGAGAAGCUUGCUUCUCUGAUGUUAGCGGCGGACGGGUGAGUAACGCGUGGAUAACCUACCUAUAAGACUGGGAUAACUUCGGGAAACCGGAGCUAAUACCGGAUAAUAUUUUGAACCGCAUGGUUCAAAAGUGAAAGACGGUCUUGCUGUCACUUAUAGAUGGAUCCGCGCUGCAUUAGCUAGUUGGUAAGGUAACGGCUUACCAAGGCAACGAUGCAUAGCCGACCUGAGAGGGUGAUCGGCCACACUGGAACUGAGACACGGUCCAGACUCCUACGGGAGGCAGCAGUAGGGAAUCUUCCGCAAUGGGCGAAAGCCUGACGGAGCAACGCCGCGUGAGUGAUGAAGGUCUUCGGAUCAUAAAACUCUGUUACUAGGGAAGAACAUAUGUGUAAGUAACUGUGCACAUCUUGACGGUACCUAAUCAGAAAGCCACGGCUAACUACGUG
RNAcentral lists this ribosomal RNA (497 nucleotides) under uncultured bacterium. Its description in RNAcentral is "partial 16S ribosomal RNA". It matches the Rfam family "Bacterial small subunit ribosomal RNA", at positions 28 to 507 of the family's 1533-position model. The record is from RNAcentral.